GACGAACGCUGGCGGCGUGCUUAACACAUGCAAGUCGAACGGAAAGGCCCUGCUUUUGUGGGGUGCUCGAGUGGCGAACGGGUGAGUAACACGUGAGUAACCUGCCCUUGACUUUGGGAUAACUUCAGGAAACUGGGGCUAAUACCGGAUAGGAGCUCCUGCUGCAUGGUGGGGGUUGGAAAGUUUCGGCGGUUGGGGAUGGACUCGCGGCUUAUCAGCUUGUUGGUGGGGUAGUGGCUUACCAAGGCUUUGACGGGUAGCCGGCCUGAGAGGGUGACCGGCCACAUUGGGACUGAGAUACGGCCCAGACUCGUACGGGAGGCAGCAGUGGGAAAUAUUGCACAAUGGGCGGGAGCCUGAUGCAGCAACGCCGCGUGCGGGAUGACGGCCUUCGGGUUGUAAACCGCUUUCGCCUGUGACGAAGCGUGAGUGACGGUAAUGGGUAAAGAAGCACCGGCUAACUACGUG
Molecule: ribosomal RNA, 468 nt
Filed under: uncultured bacterium
Lineage: Bacteria
Description: partial 16S ribosomal RNA
Rfam family: Bacterial small subunit ribosomal RNA
Source: RNAcentral